Long non-coding RNA from Gopherus evgoodei (Goodes thornscrub tortoise), 743 nucleotides. RefSeq lists it as uncharacterized. The record is from RefSeq and is a predicted model, not a curated record. NCBI's taxonomy places the organism in Eukaryota, Metazoa, Chordata, Testudines, Testudinidae. The transcript has 3 exons.
AGAGUCACCCUGUAUUGGGGAAAUUUCGGCAUUCUAGGCCCAACAGACCUGAGGAAAACAGAUGCGACUCCCAACUUGUGUUCUCCCUUAUGGGGGAAAGUAUAUGGAAGGAGGGGGAGUGAAUUUUACUUGUCUUCAGAAGACCAUGCACAAGCAAAGAAGGUGUCACCUAAGAACAAUCGUACAAGUGGAAGAAGCAAAAGGACACCUUUGGAUCUGAGACAAGAGCCCUGCAGCACCUCCACCAAUCUCCAGCAGAAACAUUAGGAACAAAAAGUUGGCCUCCUGAAAGAUCCUGGUACAUGCUUCAGCGACAUCUCCUUUAUGUUGUAGCGAAAUGGCUUUCCCAUGUGCAGGUGGAGAUUAGCUGCAAAAUCUGCAUUUUUUUGAGAGGGGGGACACAAAUCAGGAGCUACUCACCCACGUACUGAAACAACUCACCAUAUGCUCCCUCUAUCGCCAAGGAAAAGGUGCUAGUUCAAAUGUAAAUUCGCCCUCCAAAAACCCCAACAUGUAAUUUUCAAUGGAGAAGGCAUUUAUAGGACAAAUAUUACAAGUUAUCCCACCAUCAAGUUUGCCAAGAGCUAAUAAUCAAAAUGGCACAUUGCAGUUUUAAGUCGUCUUUAUGCAGCUGUUCUUGUCAGGGGGAUAGGGGACUGGCUAGUGUUGUGUCUAAAUUUGUUGCAGGUUUCAUACAUGUAAACAAAAGAGGUUAGGCAGACAAUCUGGGGCCUCAUUAAAUU